CCGGUCUUACCACCGGGAUGUUCAUAACCCUUUGUUGUCCGACUCUGUUGCCUCCGGGGCGACCCUGCCUUCGGGCGGGGGCUCCGGGUGGACACUUCAAACUCUUGCGUAACUUUGCAGUCUGAGUAAACUUAAUUAAUAAAUUAAAACUUUUAACAACGGAUCUCUUGGUUCUGGCAUCGAUGAAGAACGCAGCGAAAUGCGAUAAGUAAUGUGAAUUGCAGAAUUCAGUGAAUCAUCGAAUCUUUGAACGCACAUUGCGCCCCCUGGUAUUCCGGGGGGCAUGCCUGUUCGAGCGUCAUUUCACCACUCAAGCCUCGCUUGGUAUUGGGCAACGCGGUCCGCCGCGUGCCUCAAAUCGACCGGCUGGGUCUUCUGUCCCCUAAGCGUUGUGGAAACUAUUCGCUAAAGGGUGUUCGGGAGGCUACGCCGUAAAACAACCCCAUUUCUAAGGUUGACCUCGGAUCAGGUAGGGAUACCCGCUGAACUUAAGCAUAUCAAUAAGCGGAGGAA
RNAcentral lists this ribosomal RNA (513 nucleotides) under Cladosporium sp. lf70. Its description in RNAcentral is "eukaryotic LSU rRNA". The stretch from base 148 to 301 matches the Rfam family "5.8S ribosomal RNA". Lineage: Eukaryota; Fungi; Ascomycota; Dothideomycetes; Cladosporiales; Cladosporiaceae. The record is from RNAcentral.